Molecule: long non-coding RNA, 541 nt
Filed under: Malus domestica (apple)
Lineage: Eukaryota; Viridiplantae; Streptophyta; Magnoliopsida; Rosales; Rosaceae
Description: long non-coding RNA (MDOM_LNC006121)
Source: RNAcentral
GGCCGUUGUCGGUGACGAUGGAUUAAGGGAUGCCAAAUCGACAAAUGAUACUCCUUCAUAUGAAGCGCUCUAUGUCCGUCUGAACCAUGAUCGUCAUGGGCUCUACUUCUACUUAUUUGGUGAAGUAGUCGGUUGCUACGAUCAUCAUGCCUUUGCCUCUGGUAGUCUGGCUGGUGAUUAGCUAGGACUUGGAAUGAAUGGAAAGCUUUUUCACCACCAAGUCUUUUGUCAUUCGAAGGCCUGCUAGUGGGGCUUCGUACUCUGCUUCGUUGUUAGAUGUUUUGAAGUUUAGAGUGAUCGCCUGCUUGAGCAUUGAAACGUCUGGGGUGGCAAGAACCACGGCUGCUCACGAGCCUUCGUAGUUGGAUACGUCGUCGACAUGCAAAUGCCAAAAAUCUCCAUUGAGGGAGCAGGUGUGGCUAAAGUGUGCUCGGCUGCCUUCAGAAAACUUUGCAUCUGCCAAGGUCUACGCCUUUAUCGUCAUCGGUUUGGAUUCGGCAGAAUAGUGCGUCAUGAUGAUGAUUGCUUGCGUUUGAAGGUA